RNAcentral lists this long non-coding RNA (237 nucleotides) under Gossypium barbadense (sea-island cotton). Its description in RNAcentral is "long non-coding RNA (GBAR_LNC002207)". The record is from RNAcentral. Lineage: Eukaryota; Viridiplantae; Streptophyta; Magnoliopsida; Malvales; Malvaceae.
GGGGCUAUUUUAUGUACAUGUAUUUGAAGAUUCAUGAACCAAGAACAUACAUGGGGACGUUUUAUGCAAGUUCCAUGCAUAUCUAAGAUGUCCAUUCAAGUAUUCAAGGUAUAUUAAAGCCUCAUUCGGCCAAGGGAGAUGUAGGAGUAUUAAAGGGCUGCACAUUCAUGGCAUUAUGGCUAUUCUUCAAGGCUAAGUAUGCAUGAAUGCAUCAAGUGAAGCAACAUGAUGGUUCGG